Molecule: transfer RNA, 72 nt
Organism: Cylindrobasidium torrendii FP15055 ss-10
Lineage: Eukaryota; Fungi; Basidiomycota; Agaricomycetes; Agaricales; Physalacriaceae
Rfam family: tRNA
About the family: Transfer RNA (tRNA) molecules are approximately 80 nucleotides in length. Their secondary structure includes four short double-helical elements and three loops (D, anti-codon, and T loops).
Source: Rfam
ACGCCAUUGGUGAAACGGUUAUCAUGCUUGCCUUCCAAGCAAGCGGCGCCGGUUCGACUCCGGCAUGGCGUA